Molecule: ribosomal RNA, 253 nt
Filed under: uncultured bacterium
Lineage: Bacteria
Description: partial 16S ribosomal RNA
Rfam family: Bacterial small subunit ribosomal RNA
Source: RNAcentral
UACGUAGGGGGCAAGCGUUGUCCGGAAUCAUUGGGCGUAAAGCGCGUGUAGGCGGCUCGGUAAGUCUGCUCUGAAAGUCCAAGGCUCAACCUUGGGAUGCGGGUGGAUACUGCCGGGCUCGAGUCCGGAAGAGGCGAGUGGAAUUCCUGGUGUAGCGGUGAAAUGCGCAGAUAUCAGGAGGAACACCGAUGGCGAAGGCAGGUCUCUGGGCAUUAACUGACGCUGAGGAGCGAAAGCAUGGGGAGCGAACAGG